This 377-nucleotide ribosomal RNA is filed under the name uncultured bacterium. RNAcentral describes it as "bacterial SSU rRNA". It matches the Rfam family "Bacterial small subunit ribosomal RNA", at positions 523 to 898 of the family's 1533-position model. The record is from RNAcentral.
AUACGUAGGGGGCGAGCGUUGUCCGGAAUUAUUGGGCGUAAAGGGCGCGUAGGCGGUGACACAAGUCAGGUGAUAAAGGCACGGGCUCAACCGGUGUUAGGCACUUGAUACUGUGUUGCUAGAGUGCAGGAGAGGGGAGUGGAAUUCCAGGUGUAGCGGUGAAAUGCGUAGAUAUCUGGAAGAACACCAGUGGCGAAGGCGGCUCUCUGGACUGCAACUGACGCUGAGGCGCGAAAGCUGGGGGAGCAAACAGGAUUAGAUACCCUGGUAGUCCCAGCCGUAAACGAUGAACACUAGGUGUAGGGGGUAUCGACCCCCCCUGUGCCGGAGCUAACGCAAUAAGUGUUCCGCCUGGGGAGUACGGUCGCAAGAUUAAA